This 253-nucleotide ribosomal RNA is filed under the name uncultured bacterium. RNAcentral's name for it is "partial 16S ribosomal RNA". It matches the Rfam family "Bacterial small subunit ribosomal RNA", at positions 524 to 776 of the family's 1533-position model. The record is from RNAcentral.
UAUGGAGGGUGCAAGCGUUGUUCGGAAUUAUUGGGCGUAAAGCGCACGUAGGUGGCAUCAGAAGUCCGGUGUGAAAUCCCUCGGCUUAACCGAGGAAGUGCGCCGGAAACCAUGAAGCUAGAGUAUAGGAGGGGAGAGUGGAAUUCCCAGUGUAGAGGUGAAAUUCGUAGAUAUUGGGAGGAACACCGGUGGCGAAAGCGACUCUCUGGACUAUUACUGACACUAAGGUGCGAAAGCGUGGGUAGCAAACAGG